This is a long non-coding RNA of Girardinichthys multiradiatus, 942 nucleotides long. RefSeq lists it as uncharacterized. The transcript has 4 exons. Lineage: Eukaryota; Metazoa; Chordata; Actinopteri; Cyprinodontiformes; Goodeidae. The record is from RefSeq and is a predicted model, not a curated record.
CUUUUUCGUGGUUUUAUGGAACCCGAUGGAAGUUAAAGGGUGCUACACCUAUGUGUUUCAAGGCGGCGUAGCUGCAACUACCGCCUGCAGAUGGCGCAGUUCUCCUGCCAACGGUCACUUCCUCUGAAGGAGACAAAGAUGGUUCUGCACUCUUUGGUAGGUGUUUUUUUUUAUGAGUUACCCCAUUGAAACUGGAAGAUCCUGGGAGGAGAAGCAGAACCUGCCGAGACUGCAGCAUGGUCCACCGUGGAUCUCUUCACAGGUCAUUGGACUCCAGAUAAGAAGUUUCAUUUCACACCCAUAAGCCACCUUCAAGACGUGGAAUGCUGAAAUGUCUCAUGAUGAGCAUGAAAGAAAGACCGAGUUCUUCCAGGGACAAACACAUUUUGAAAAGUGGAGCCAUACUUUCUAGCGCUUUCUGUCAGCCAUGCUUUGGUGACGAUACCAGCAGCUACUGACGUCAUAACCCUCUUGUGCGUGCUAUGCUGUGUUCAUGUCCGGCAUGGAAAAUCGCCCACUCUUCCACUCCCUCAGUGUCACGAUGAUGCAUUUAGGUACCGAAACAUGGUACCGUUUGAUUUUACAUGGUACAUUUGAAUAGGUACUCGGUAGUACUGACAGAAUUCAAUCGGUACCUAUAAAAGUACUGAAUUCGGUACCCAUCCCUACCUGUGCUAUUAAACAGCCAUCAGCUUCGAAGAGAUUUUCAUGUGGACUCUCUUCUGAACUUCCUGAAUCAGCGCUCAGAGUCACACUGCUUCUUUAGGGUUUAAGACAGUGAACACUGAGCUUUUUUCUAUUAUCUUGUGCAUAAUAAAAACCACUCCACCAUCUGUUAUUCUAGCUUUAUUUACAUUCUACAUUACUAAAACCAGCCGCCACAGACAGUUUCUUCCCCCAGGCUGUUUCUCUGAUGAACAUUUAAUAGAGUACAAAACAACC